RNAcentral lists this ribosomal RNA (253 nucleotides) under uncultured bacterium. RNAcentral describes it as "partial 16S ribosomal RNA". It matches the Rfam family "Bacterial small subunit ribosomal RNA", at positions 524 to 776 of the family's 1533-position model. The record is from RNAcentral.
UACAGAGGUCCCGAGCGUUGUUCGGAUUCACUGGGCGUAAAGGGUGCGUAGGUGGCAGGGUAAGUUUGAUGUGAAAUCUCCGGGCUUAACCCGGAAACUGCAUUGAAUACUAUCCUGCUUGAGGGUUGGAGGGGGGACUGGAAUUCUCGGUGUAGCAGUGAAAUGCGUAGAUAUCGAGAGGAACACCAGUGGCGAAGGCGAGUCCCUGGACAACACCUGACACUGAGGCACGAAAGCUAGGGGAGCAAACAGG